CCCUUAGAUGUUCUGGGCCGCACGCGCGCUACACUGUUCGACGCAGCGAGUCUUAACCUUGACCGAAAGGUUUGGGUAAUCUUCAGCAAAGUCGAACGUGAUGGGGAUCGAUCAUUGCAAUUAUUGAUCGUGAACGAGGAAUUCCUAGUAAUUGCAAGUCAUCAGCUUGCGCUGAUUACGUCCCUGCCCUUUGUACACACCGCCCGUCGCUACUACCGAUUGAAUGGUUUAGUGAGAUCUCUGGAUUGACGCUGGCUAGGGGGCGACCCUUGGCCAGGCUGUCGAGAAACUGCUCAAACUUGAUCAUUUAGAGGAAGUAAAAGUCGUAACA
Molecule: ribosomal RNA, 331 nt
Filed under: uncultured eukaryote
Lineage: Eukaryota
Description: partial 18S ribosomal RNA
Rfam family: Eukaryotic small subunit ribosomal RNA
Source: RNAcentral